GGCAAAACUCCAUUGAACACAUGGCAGCAAAAGACAAUAAAACACAUAAAAAUAUAUAACUGUGCAGCCAUUGCACAAAACAGGUACAUUCAACAUAUCCCCAGAUAGCUCAGAUCUGAGCACACAUUAUUACUGAAUGGCGCUCAGAGCAUACACAUACAGUUCGAUUGCCAUGGAGCCAAAGUCUUUCCCAUAGUCUUUCAUUAUAUGAAUGGGCUCCAUGGCAUAGCUAUCUGGUGUAUCACCACUCAAACAGGGCAAGCACCGAAU
Molecule: non-coding RNA, 270 nt
Organism: Pelobates cultripes (western spadefoot toad)
Lineage: Eukaryota; Metazoa; Chordata; Amphibia; Anura; Pelobatidae
Source: the annotation of a GenBank genome assembly